GACGAACGCUGGCGGCGUGCCUAAUACAUGCAAGUUGAGCGCUGAAGGUUGGUACUUGUACCGACUGGAUGAGCAGCGAACGGGUGAGUAACGCGUGGGGAAUCUGCCUUUGAGCGGGGGACAACAUUUGGAAACGAAUGCUAAUACCGCAUAAAAACUUUAAACACAAGUUUUAAGUUUGAAAGAUGCAAUUACAUCACUCAAAGAUGAUCCCGCGUUGUAUUAGCUAGUUGGUGAGGUAAAGGCUCACCAAGGGGAUGAUACAUAGCCGACCUGAGAGGGUGAUCGGCCACAUUGGGACUGAGACACGGCCCAAACUCCUACGGGAGGCAGCAGUAGGGAAUCUUCGGCAAUGGACGAAAGGCUGACCGAGCAACGCCGCGUGAGUGAAGAAGGGUUUCGGAUCGUAAAACUCUGUUGGUAGAGAAGAACGUUGGUGAGAGUGGAAAGCUCAUCAAGUGACGGUAACUACCCAGAAAGGGACGGCUAACUACGUG
RNAcentral lists this ribosomal RNA (497 nucleotides) under uncultured bacterium. RNAcentral describes it as "partial 16S ribosomal RNA". It matches the Rfam family "Bacterial small subunit ribosomal RNA", at positions 28 to 507 of the family's 1533-position model. The record is from RNAcentral.